RNAcentral lists this ribosomal RNA (519 nucleotides) under Rhodotorula glutinis. Its description in RNAcentral is "partial large subunit ribosomal RNA". It matches the Rfam family "Eukaryotic large subunit ribosomal RNA", at positions 93 to 617 of the family's 3401-position model. Lineage: Eukaryota; Fungi; Basidiomycota; Microbotryomycetes; Sporidiobolales; Sporidiobolaceae. The record is from RNAcentral.
GCGAAGCGGGAAGAGCUCAAAUUUAUAAUCUGGCACCUUCGGUGUCCGAGUUGUAAUCUCUAGAAGUGUUUUCCGCGUUGGACCGCACACAAGUCUGUUGGAAUACAGCGGCAUAGUGGUGAAACCCCCGUAUAUGGUGCGGACGCCCAGCGCUUUGUGAUACACUUUCAAUGAGUCGAGUUGUUUGGGAAUGCAGCUCAAAUUGGGUGGUAAAUUCCAUCUAAAGCUAAAUAUUGGCGAGAGACCGAUAGCGAACAAGUACCGUGAGGGAAAGAUGAAAAGCACUUUGGAAAGAGAGUUAACAGUACGUGAAAUUGUUGGAAGGGAAACGCUUGAAGUCAGACUUGCUUGCCGGAGCUUGCUUCGGUUUGCAGGCCAGCAUCAGUUUUCCGGGGUGGAUAAUGACGGUUUGAAGGUAGCAGUCUCGGCUGUGUUAUAGCUUUCCGUUGGAUACAUCCUGGGGGACUGAGGAACGCAGCGUGCUUUUUGCGAAAGACUCGUCUUUUUCACGCUUAGGAU